Molecule: ribosomal RNA, 301 nt
Filed under: uncultured bacterium
Lineage: Bacteria
Description: partial 16S ribosomal RNA
Rfam family: Bacterial small subunit ribosomal RNA
Source: RNAcentral
CAGUCGCCACGGUAAUACGUAGGGUGCAAGCGUUAAUCGGGAUCACUGGGCGUAAAGCGUGCGCAGGCGGUUCGUUAAGACAGAUGUGAAAUCCCCGGGCUUAACCUGGGAACUGCAUUUGUGACUGGCGGGCUAGAGUAUGGCAGAGGGGGGUAGAAUUCCACGUGUAGCAGUGAAAUGCGUAGAGAUGUGGAGGAAUACCGAUGGCGAAGGCAGCCCCCUGGGCCAAUACUGACGCUCAUGCACGAAAGCGUGGGGAGCAAACAGGAUUAGAUACCCCCGUAGUCCCUGUCUCUUAUAC